GAUGAACGCUGGCGGCGUGCCUAAUACAUGCAAGUCGAGCGAACAGACGAGGAGCUUGCUCCUCUGACGUUAGCGGCGGACGGGUGAGUAACACGUGGAUAACCUACCUAUAAGACUGGGAUAACUUCGGGAAACCGGAGCUAAUACCGGAUAAUAUAUUGAACCGCAUGGUUCAAUAGUGAAAGACGGUUUUGCUGUCACUUAUAGAUGGAUCCGCGCCGCAUUAGCUAGUUGGUAAGGUAACGGCUUACCAAGGCGACGAUGCGUAGCCGACCUGAGAGGGUGAUCGGCCACACUGGAACUGAGACACGGUCCAGACUCCUCCGGGAGGCAGCAGUAGGGAAUCUUCCGCAAUGGGCGAAAGCCUGACGGAGCAACGCCGCGUGAGUGAUGAAGGUCUUCGGAUCGUAAAACUCUGUUAUUAGGGAAGAACAAAUGUGUAAGUAACUAUGCACGUCUUGACGGUACCUAAUCAGAAAGCCACGGCUAACUACGUG
Molecule: ribosomal RNA, 497 nt
Filed under: uncultured bacterium
Lineage: Bacteria
Description: partial 16S ribosomal RNA
Rfam family: Bacterial small subunit ribosomal RNA
Source: RNAcentral